This is a ribosomal RNA of Lepisosteus oculatus (spotted gar), 117 nucleotides long. The record is from Ensembl. Lineage: Eukaryota; Metazoa; Chordata; Actinopteri; Semionotiformes; Lepisosteidae.
GCCAGCAGCCAUAUCACCCUGCAGCUCUCAACUGGCUACCCACUGAAGCUAAGCAGGGUUGAGCCUGGCCAGUACCUGGAUGGGAGACCUCCUGGGAAGCUAUGGUUGCUGCUGGAC